This 521-nucleotide ribosomal RNA is filed under the name uncultured bacterium. RNAcentral describes it as "bacterial SSU rRNA". It matches the Rfam family "Archaeal small subunit ribosomal RNA", at positions 345 to 866 of the family's 1478-position model. The record is from RNAcentral.
AACCUCCGCAAUGUGAGAAAUCGCGACGGGGGGAUCCCAAGUGCCAUUCUUAACGGGAUGGCUUUUCAUUAGUGUAAAGAGCUUUUGGAAUAAGGGCUGGGCAAGACCGGUGCCAGCCGCCGCGGUAACACCGGCAGCUCUAGUGGUAGCAGUUUUUAUUGGGCCUAAAGCGUCCGUAGCCGGUUUAAUAAGUCUCUGGUGAAAUCCUGUAGCUUAACUGUGAGAAUUGCUGGAGAUACUAUUAGACUUGAGACCGGGAGAGGUUAGAGGUACUCCCAGGGUAGAGGUGAAAUUCUGUAAUCCUGGGAGGACCGCCUGUUGCGAAGGCGUCUAACUGGAACGGUUCUGACGGUGAGGGACGAAAGUUAGGGGCGCGAACCGGAUUAGAUACCCGGGUAGUCCUAACUGUAAACGAUGCGGACUUGGUGUUGGGGUGGCUUUGAGCUGCUCCAGUGCCGAAGGGAAGCUGUUAAGUCCGCCGCCUGGGAAGUACGGUCGCAAGACUGAAACUUAAAGGAAUU